GUUUGUGCCCAUCUUCUGCUGGUGACUUUCCCGACACACGGCUCUGCACGCGGUGAUUCCAAAGACGCCCUGCUAACGUGAAGAAAUUCUGAGCAAGCCGACCUUCUGGAAGACACUGUGCUGCUUCUUGUGCAUUUAUCACCUGUUCGGCUGCAGGACGACCUGCUUGAACUUACCUCCCUGAGAAUCACUGGAGGGGAGCAGCGGGGCUGGAAGUGACCGACCGAUGGUGCUGGUGACAUUUCUCCAGGGUCCAGUGUGAACUACAGAGAACAGCAGCAGUUUUUGGUUGAAGAGGUGGCUCAGUGAUAAGAUUCCUUAUUGUACCAUCAUGAGGACCAGAGUUUGGAUCCCAGCACCCACAUCACAGCUCUCCAGAUCCACAAACCUAAUUUCCUUCAGUGGCCACAAGAGGGAACUGUUUAACCUUAAACGAAAUGUAUACACAUUUGUGUACUAAAACUUGAGGUAAAUUACUCAAAUAACCUGGCCUAGGAAAUUUAAGAACCAUUGAAAUAAACAAAACAUACAGUGUGUCCAAAGAGAGAAGCAAGGGGGUCGGAGAGCGGAGUGGACGGGACGGCCUUCAAGAUGAGCAUAGCUGUGACCCAUCCCUGGGGAGUCGGUAACCUUGGAGCUCCCUGCUGGCAGGACCCUUGGCUGACUUAGGAAACUCUUAGAGAAGUGUCUUCAGCCACACCAUCGGGUUGGCCUUCAGGUCCGAGGGCAUCCCUUCCCAUGCUUACAGGCUGUCACCGCAGGGAAGCUGCUCCUUGGGGGUCACUGUGGCCUCCACUCCGGGUCAAGACUUGGUUCACACAGCUGUGUUCGGAGUCCACAUGGAGCUGUUUCCCAGCAAACCAUGCAUGCAUCAGCAGGAAGUGGGUGCUUUGGGAAUGGUCCAGAUCUUCACGUGUCUGGCGAAGAGCCAGGGGGCGUCAUUUUGGGUUGGCGUGGAAGUCACCCUUUUACGGUCAUUCACAGAAUGGCUGAGUGGUGAAAGAUUCACCUCUUGCCUUUUUAUAGCAACUCGGACGGAAAAAGAAGCUUCCUGGCUGGAAGUGAGACACUGAGGGUGGACGUGUAGUCCGUGUUUGCAAGGCCUUGGGUCCCAUCCCCAGAAUCACCAAACUAUGAAAACUAUGACAUUAGAAUUUUUAGAGCCUGAAAAUUGCACGAUCAGAAGAACUUCAAAAUAACCACCAAACUGACACCACCAAAUGGAAUGAAACUGCUCAGAAUGUAGACUUUGUAAAAUCUGAUAAAAAUGGAAGCCAAAGGCAGUAAAAAUCAUAAACAAACAAACCAUAUAUACAGACAGCCAAGCAGAGAGAUAUAUAGCAGCCAGCUCCUCCAUAUUGCUGUUGUUUGAAGGAUCCCAGAGGGGGCCACGUACAGAAGCUUCCUUUCCAUUAAGGAGUGUGCUGAGGGAUGCAAAUGUCAACGGUCGUGUGACGUAACCAAAGUGUGAGACAUCCCUUCCCUUUUCUUCACUGGCAACUGUUUACUUCCUGAGUAAACCACCAGCUUCUACCACCGGCCCACCAGCUCGAACUGGGGUGACCCGGGAACAGUGGGCAGAAUGACCGGCACUCCCAAAGGCCACAGGGCAGGCGAGCAGUCUUCCAGGCUCUAGACACAGUGUGAUGUAGAAACACAGGCAGUGAACUGGGUUCCAUGCCAGAGCAAGAGGAUGGGAGAGUGCUUCAUCACCGCACACGUAGUGACUAGAAGCCACUGUCGGGACCCCUAUCUGUCUUGGAAACUGAGGCUCUGAGGAGCUUCUGCUUGGCGUGGACUAGUCUAACGUUUACAGCACUAGCUAGUGUAACUGGGAGACUUUAUGAGUUCUUGCUAACUCCUUUGAAAAAACAGUAAUAAUCCCAUUAUACAACUUACAUACCUUCAUAAAAAUAACUACAUUCUCCAGAGCCAAAGGAGUUGCAUAAGAAGGGUGCUGUUUUGGAAUUCCGCAGUUCCUUUCAGUGUCGACUGUAAUGGAAGACAGCUGAGUUUCCUAUCUGCUGUCGGCUUAAUUGGAAUCUGUGGAAAUAUGUUGUCGUGGUUGAAGCUGAUGAAGAAAAUCUGGCCUCCCCCAGCUAUGUAAGUGGAAAGGGGGUGCAGUUAAGCAGUCUUUUAGAUAAUGAUGGCUUUGUUUGAGCCCCUUCCUAAGUGGUGUUUCUUAAGUUCUUAGAAGGGGCUGGAGAGAUGGUUCAGCAACGAAGAACACUGGCUGCUCUUG
This is a long non-coding RNA of Peromyscus eremicus (cactus mouse), 2242 nucleotides long. RefSeq lists it as uncharacterized. NCBI's taxonomy places the organism in Eukaryota, Metazoa, Chordata, Mammalia, Rodentia, Cricetidae. The record is from RefSeq and is a predicted model, not a curated record. The transcript has 4 exons.